CCUACGGGAGGCAGCAGUAAGGAAUAUUGGUCAAUGGACGCAAGUCUGAACCAGCCAUGCCGCGUGAAGGAUUAAGGUCCUCUGGAUUGUAAACUUCUUUUAUUUGGGACGAAAAAGGGCCUUUCUAGGUCAACUGACGGUACCAGAUGAAUAAGCACCGGCUAACUCCGUGCCAGCAGCCGCGGUAAUACGGAGGGUGCAAGCGUUAUCCGGAUUCACUGGGUUUAAAGGGUGCGUAGGCGGGUAGGUAAGUCAGUGGUGAAAUCCUGGAGCUCAACUCCAGAACUGCCAUUGAUACUAUUUAUCUUGAAUAUUGUGGAGGUAAGCGGAAUAUGUCAUGUAGCGGUGAAAUGCUUAGAUAUGACAUAGAACACCUAUUGCGAAGGCAGCUUACUACGCAUAUAUUGACGCUGAGGCACGAAAGCGUGGGGAUCAAACAGGAUUAGAUACCCUGGUAGUCCACGCCCUAAACUAUGAUUACUCGACAUUUGUGAUACACAAUAAGUGUNUGAGAGAAGACAUAAGUAAUACACUACGAGUACGUCGCGAGAGAGAACGUAAGUAAAGUAAGUAGACGNGAGAGAGACGACGACGACGACGACGGAGGAGGAG
RNAcentral lists this ribosomal RNA (612 nucleotides) under uncultured bacterium. Its description in RNAcentral is "bacterial SSU rRNA". The stretch from base 1 to 534 matches the Rfam family "Bacterial small subunit ribosomal RNA", at positions 338 to 873 of the family's 1533-position model. The record is from RNAcentral.